GGGGGAUUAGCUCAGUUGGGAGAGCGCCUGCCUUGCAAGCAGGAGGUCACGAGUUCGACUCUCGUAUUCUCCACUA
RNAcentral lists this transfer RNA (76 nucleotides) under Mediterraneibacter faecis. RNAcentral describes it as "tRNA-Ala". It matches the Rfam family "tRNA". From Rfam's summary of the family: Transfer RNA (tRNA) molecules are approximately 80 nucleotides in length. Their secondary structure includes four short double-helical elements and three loops (D, anti-codon, and T loops). Lineage: Bacteria; Bacillati; Bacillota; Clostridia; Lachnospirales; Lachnospiraceae. RNAcentral also lists the same sequence under 32 other names. The record is from RNAcentral.